UACGAAGGGUGCAAGCGUUGUUCGGAUUUAUUGGGCGUAAAGCGCGCGUAGGCGGACCUGUAAGUCAGAUGUGAAAUCUCGGGGCUCAACCUCGAAACUGCGUCUGAAACUGCAGGUCUAGAAUCUCGGAGGGGGAAGGGGAGUUUCGCAUGUAGGGGUAAAAUCCGUAGAUAUGCGAAGGAACACCAGGGGCGAAGGCGCCUUCCUGGACGAGUAUUGACGCUGAGGCGCGAAAGCGUGGGGAUCAAACAGG
Molecule: ribosomal RNA, 253 nt
Filed under: uncultured bacterium
Lineage: Bacteria
Description: partial 16S ribosomal RNA
Rfam family: Bacterial small subunit ribosomal RNA
Source: RNAcentral